This 1151-nucleotide long non-coding RNA is filed under the name Capsicum annuum. RNAcentral's name for it is "long non-coding RNA (CANN_LNC013498)". Lineage: Eukaryota; Viridiplantae; Streptophyta; Magnoliopsida; Solanales; Solanaceae. The record is from RNAcentral.
AAAAGGUUACAUAUUCUCCAUCCUGGUGGAAUAAUAGAAUAUCUCUAUGUUUAAUUUCCCUCUCUCUCUCUAUCUUUUUGAAGGUAAAUUGAACUAGCCAAAACAAAAUUUAGCUAGUGGAGAUGUGUGCAUGGCAUGUGGUAGUGUGUUUUAUCUUCGUGGAUGCUUAGUUGGCAUGCCACAUAGACAGGGUUAAAUGUACACUUGCAGAGAACAAAUUAAAAUAUAACAGAAGCAACUUUAGAAUUCAAUGGCGGGUCUUGGAGGUGAAUAAUAUGAGCCACUAAUUUAUCAUCAAGUGAGACUACUAUGUUUGGCUACAAUACAUGUCACUGCUUUUCAUAAGUUAAUAAGAUAUACUGUAUAAGAAAAAUACAUCUAAUGAGCUAAUAAUCAUGAUCAAAAUCCCUAACAACAGAAAGUCUUAAGUUCUAAUACAUAAACGUACAUAUUCCUACUUAUUUAGACAACAGUAAAGUUUGACCGAAAACAUUGUCUAUUCAAAAUUUGUCUUUACCAAAAUAUCUUCAAUGAAUUUAUUCAAGCAGCCGGAGUAAAAUCAUAAUCUCCAUCGUCAUCUCCUUCUAAGGAUGCAGCAGGAGCAUAAUCAUAGUCUCCAUCAUCACCAUCUCCUAAUUCGAAAGAUGCUGCAGGAGCAUAGUCAUAAUCUCCAUCAUCAUCACCAUCUCUUUCUAAGCAUGCAGCUGGAGCAUAAUCAUAAUCACCAUCGUCAUCUCCAUCUGAACACAACCUUCUCUUCUCGAACCCAAUAAUCUUUAAAAUUCCAGACAUUCUAGCUAGAUAUGUAGUGGAUAUAUUGUAUGAUAUCUUUGCUAAGGUGUGAAGAUUAAUAGUAAUUGUGUUGUGUAUGAGAGAUUGGUGAAGAAACCAUAUGGUUAUAUAUAGGAAGGAUCCCAAGUGUGAACUCUUUGGGACACGCUAGAAAGUGUGUUAUGUUACAUGAGGAAUGUGCAAAGCCAUAAGUUUGGAUCCAAAAUUCACUUUACACAUGUCGUAUGUGAUGAGUGUUAAAAGGUAACAUAUUCUAUAUCUCGGUGGAAUAAUGGAAUCUCCUAUGUUUUAUUUCUAUCUCUCUCAAUUUUUGGAGUGUAAAUUGAACAAGCCAGAACAAGAUUUAGCUAGUGGAGAAG